RNAcentral lists this ribosomal RNA (468 nucleotides) under uncultured bacterium. Its description in RNAcentral is "partial 16S ribosomal RNA". It matches the Rfam family "Bacterial small subunit ribosomal RNA", at positions 28 to 507 of the family's 1533-position model. The record is from RNAcentral.
GAUGAACGCUGGCGGCGUGCUUAACACAUGCAAGUCGAACGGAAAGGCCCAAGCUUGCUUGGGUACUCGAGUGGCGAACGGGUGAGUAACACGUGGGUGAUCUGCCCUGCACUUCGGGAUAAGCCUGGGAAACUGGGUCUAAUACCGGAUAGGACGAUGGUUUGGAUGCCAUUGUGGAAAGUUUUUUCGGUGUGGGAUGAGCUCGCGGCCUAUCGGCUUGUUGGUGGGGUAAUGGCCUACCAAGGCGUCGACGGGUAGCCGGCCUGAGAGGGUGUACGGCCACAUUGGGACUGAGAUACGGCCCAGACUCCUACGGGAGGCAGCAGUGGGGAAUAUUGCACAAUGGGCGCAAGCCUGAUGCAGCGACGCCGCGUGGGGGAUGACGGCCUUCGGGUUGUAAACUCCUUUCGCUAGGGACGAAGCGUUUUUGUGACGGUACCUGGAGAAGAAGCACCGGCUAACUACGUG